This 465-nucleotide ribosomal RNA is filed under the name uncultured bacterium. RNAcentral describes it as "partial 16S ribosomal RNA". It matches the Rfam family "Bacterial small subunit ribosomal RNA", at positions 28 to 507 of the family's 1533-position model. The record is from RNAcentral.
GAUGAACGCUGGCGGCGUGCUUAACACAUGCAAGUCGAACGGAAAGGCUCCUGCUUGCAGGGGUACUCGAGUGGCGAACGGGUGAGUAACACGUGGGUGAUCUGCCCUGCACUUCGGGAUAAGCCUGGGAAACUGGGUCUAAUACCGGAUAGGACCACAUUUUGGAUGGUGUGGUGGAAAGUUUUUCGGUGUGGGAUGAGCUCGCGGCCUAUCAGCUUGUUGGUGGGGUAGUGGCCUACCAAGGCGUCGACGGGUAGCCGGCGUGAGAGGGUGUACGGCCACAUUGGGACUGAGAGACGGCCCAGACUCCUACGGGAGGCAGCAGGGGGGAAUAGUGCACAAUGGGCGCAAGCUUGAUGCAGCAACGCCGCGGGGGGGAUGACGGCCUUCGGGUUGUAAACCCCUUUCGCCGGGGACGAAGCGAGAGUGACGGUAAUGGGUAAAGAAGCACCGGCUAACUACGUG